Oreochromis aureus is the source of this 1118-nucleotide long non-coding RNA. RefSeq lists it as uncharacterized. NCBI's taxonomy places the organism in Eukaryota, Metazoa, Chordata, Actinopteri, Cichliformes, Cichlidae. The record is from RefSeq and is a predicted model, not a curated record. The transcript has 3 exons.
CAAUAACCAAGGUGUGGGCAGAACUGAACAUAAACUUAAACUGGGAAAACUAAUACAAAAGGAGGACAUGGAGCGAGGAGCAGAGAGACACGGAGAAACACGGAAUAACAUUAAAUACACGGAAGAUUCACAGGGAAACACAGACGACGCGACGAGGAGCACAGGCAGACACACAGUAUAAAUACACACAUCAGGUAAUCAGGAAAUGGCACACAGGAGGGGACACAGCUGGAACUAAUGGACAUACUGAGACACAGACCUACAAAGUAAAGCAGGAAACACACGGACUAUUUUACAACACAAACGCGGGGACCCAAAUGGAGCACAGAGGGAAGACACAGUGGAGGGUUCUGGUCAGUUUGGCCAGUGAUGUCACACCAGCAGUGAAAACACCCUCUCAGGCAGCUAUAAAAGAAAGCAGCAUGAACUCUUUGGAGGAAUCCAGUACAAAGAAGCUUCAGCAGCUCCUCAUCACACGUUGAGACUUAAAGCUCCAACAUGAUCUUGCUCCUCUUCUUGUUCGGUCUGGCUCUGGGUGCUCCUUCUGAGUCUCCUGAUGAAAAUCAAGUGAAGCACCAACUUGAUGACCACAGAGUUCAACUACUGCGUGAAAGCUGUCCCAUGUUCUGGUACAGCUUCAAUGGCCGCUGCUACAAAUAUGUGGCCACACACAUGAGCUGGGCUGAUGCAGAGCUCUACUGUGUGUCACAACGAGCCAACCUGGUGUCUAUCCACAGCAACGAGGAAGAGGAGUUUGUUAAAUCAUUAAUUAAGAACUUUGACCAUGCUGAGCGAUGGACCUGGAUUGGACUGAGUGACCUCCAUAAAGAAGGCAGAUGGAUGUGGUCUGAUGGUUGUGCAGUGAGUUUCGUCUACUGGCAUGCAGGACAACCAGACAACGGUGGAACAAAUGAACACUGUGUUCACACCAACUUGUUGGACUUAAAGAAGUGGAAUGAUCGCACAUGUUCGCUCAUUUUACCUUCUGUUUGUGCAACACGGAUAACUUGCCCUUAGAAACUAAAAUGUGUAUUUUCCCUGCAUUGUACAGAAGCAAAAACUUUUUUGCACAUGAAUGUUUAAAAUUGCUCCAAAGUAAAAUGAAUAAACAAUUAUAC